This 371-nucleotide ribosomal RNA is filed under the name uncultured organism. RNAcentral describes it as "partial 16S ribosomal RNA". It matches the Rfam family "Bacterial small subunit ribosomal RNA", at positions 527 to 896 of the family's 1533-position model. The record is from RNAcentral.
GAAGGUGGCUAGCGUUGUUCGGUGUCACUGGGCUUAAAGCGUAUGUAGGCGGAAGAGUAAGCGUUUUGUGAAAUCCCUCGGCUUAACCGAGGAAUUGCUUGACGAACUGCUUUUCUUGAGGCAAGUAGGGGUGCAUGGAACUCUUGGUGGAGCGGUGGAAUGCGUAGAUAUCAAGAGGAACGCCAAUGGAGAAAUCAGUGCACUGGGCUUGUCCUGACGCUCAGAUACGAAAGCGUGGGGGAGCGAACGGGAUUAGAUACCCCGGUAGUCCACGCUGUAAACGAUGUCUACUAGGUUGUGGGAGUUCUGACACUGUCGCGACCGAAGCAAAAGUGUUAAGUAGACCGCCUGGGGAUACGGUCGCAAGGCUA